This 486-nucleotide ribosomal RNA is filed under the name uncultured bacterium. RNAcentral's name for it is "partial 16S ribosomal RNA". It matches the Rfam family "Bacterial small subunit ribosomal RNA", at positions 29 to 507 of the family's 1533-position model. The record is from RNAcentral.
AUUGAACGCUGGCGGCAUGCCUUACACAUGCAAGUCGAACGGCAGCACGGGUGCUUGCACCUGGUGGCGAGUGGCGAACGGGUGAGUAAUACAUCGGAACAUGUCCUGUAGUGGGGGAUAGCCCGGCGAAAGCCGGAUUAAUACCGCAUACGAUCUACGGAUGAAAGCGGGGGACCUUCGGGCCUCGCGCUAUAGGGUUGGCCGAUGGCUGAUUAGCUAGUUGGUGGGGUAAAGGCCUACCAAGGCGACGAUCAGUAGCUGGUCUGAGAGGACGACCAGCCACAGGGGAACGGAGACACGGCCCAGACUCCUACGGGAGGCAGCAGUGGGGAAUUUGGGACAAUGGGCGAAAGCCUGACCGAGCAACGCCGCGGGUGUGAAGAGGGUGUUGGGGUGGAAAAGCAUUUUGACGAGGAAAGAAAUCCUGGCCCAGAAACGGUGCGGGGGUUGACGGUACCGAAAAAAAAAGCCACGGCUAACUACGUG